This is a long non-coding RNA of Bufo bufo (common toad), 238 nucleotides long. RefSeq lists it as uncharacterized. The transcript has 3 exons. NCBI's taxonomy places the organism in Eukaryota, Metazoa, Chordata, Amphibia, Anura, Bufonidae. The record is from RefSeq and is a predicted model, not a curated record.
AGAAUAUCUACCCUGUUACACACUUCUGUGUCAGCGGCAACCAGGCAAACCUUACCUACCAAACCUUCUCCUAUGUCACUUACAAAGAUAUUAAAAAUAAUAAGACCCAGGACAGACUCUUGAGGUCCACCACUUGUAACUUGUCUCUCCCCAGAAUGCACACGAUUAACAACAACCCUCUGGUGUCUAUUCAACAGCCAACUGCGCAUCCACUGAACUAUCCAGAGAUGAUGUCCAA